GACCGCGUAGCUCAGUUGGCAGAGCAUUGGACUAGUAUCCCAAAGGUCGCGGGUUCGAUUCCCACCGUGGCCA
Non-coding RNA from Paramuricea clavata, 73 nucleotides. The record is from the annotation of a GenBank genome assembly. Lineage: Eukaryota; Metazoa; Cnidaria; Anthozoa; Malacalcyonacea; Plexauridae.